RNAcentral lists this small RNA (2052 nucleotides) under Olea europaea subsp. europaea. The record is from RNAcentral. Lineage: Eukaryota; Viridiplantae; Streptophyta; Magnoliopsida; Lamiales; Oleaceae.
AAAAUUUGAACUGUCCAAUAGGGUAAUGUCAUGUAGCAAAGUGUAAACUAAAGUGUACACCAUAGUGUACAUGUAGCAAGGUUCUUACGAAUUGAACUUUGCUAUUUGUACACUUAUUUUUGACACGCAGGGUACUGUCAAGUGGCAAAUUGUAAACUAAAGUGUACAACAUAGUGUACAUGAAGCAAGGUACAUACCGAUUGAACUUUGCUAUUUAUACACUGAUUUUUGACACAUUGUUUAAUGCGUGCAUUGUUGUCGAGUGUCAAUUGGAUGAAAAAAAUGUUUGAAAUUUAAACUAUCCAGCAGGGUAAUUUCAGGUGGCAAAGUAUAAACUAAAGUGUACACCAUUGUGUAGAUGUAGCAAGGUUCUUACCGAUUUAACUUUGCUAUUUGUACACAAAUUUUUGACACUUGCAUUGUUGUCAACUGUCAUUCGGAUGGGAAAACUGUUUGAAAUUUAAACUAUCCAAUAGGGUAAUGUGAUGUGGCAGAGUGUAAACUAAAUUGUACACCAUAAUGUACAUGCAGCAAGGUCCUUACCGAUUGAACUUUGCUAUUUGUACACUGAUUUUUGACAUGUAGUUUGACACUUGCAUUGUACUCAAGUGUCAUUUGGAUGGAAAAACUACUUGAAAUUUAAACUGUCGAACAGUGCAAUGUCGCAUGGCAAGGUGUAAACUAAAGUGUACACCAUAGUGUACAUGUAGCAAGGUUCUUACCAAUCGAACUUUGCUAUUUGUACAUCGAUUUUGGACAUGUUGUUUAACACUUGCAUUAUCGUCAAGAGUCAAUUUAAUGGGAAAACUGUUUGAAAUUUAAACAGUCAAAUAGGGUAAUGUCACGUGACAUAGUGUAAACUAUAGUGUACAUCAGAGUGUGCAUGUAGCAAAGUCCUUACCGAUUGAACUUUGUCAUUUGUACACUGAAUUUUGACACGUAGUUUGACACUUGCAUUGUUGUCAAUUGUCAUUUGGAUGGAAAAACUGUUCGAAAUUUAAACUGCCCAACAACGUAAUGUCACAUGGCAGAGUGUAAACUAAAGUGUACACCAUAGUGUACAUGUCGCAAGGUUCUUACCGAUUGAACUUUGCAUUUUAUACACUGAUUUUUGAGAAGUUGUUUGACACUUGCAUUGCUGUCAAGUGUCAUUUGGAAGAGAAAACUGUUUGAAAGUUAAACUGUCCAACAACAUAAUGUCACAUGGCAGAGUGUAAACUAAAGUGUACACCAUAGUGUACAUGUCGCAAGGUUCUUACUGAUUGAACUUUCCUAUUUGUACACUGAUUAUUGACACGUUGUUUGGCACUUGCAUUGUUGUCAAGAGUCAAUUGGUUGGGAAAACUAUUUUAAAUUUAAACUUUUUGAUAGGGUAAUGUCACGUGGCAAAGUGUAAAAUAAAGUGUACACCAUAGUGUACAUGUAGCAAGAUUCUUACCGAUUGAACUUUGCUAUUUGUACACUGAUUUUUGACAUGUAGUUUGACACUUGCAUUGUUGUCACGUAUCAUUUGGAUGGGAAAAUUUUUUGAAAUUUAGACUGUCCAAUGUGGUAAUGUCACGUGGCAGAGUGUAAAAUAAAGUGUAUACUAUGGUGUACAUGUCGCGGGGUCCUUGCCGAAUGAACUUUGCUAUUUGUAUACAGAUUUUUGAGACAUUGUUUUACACUUGCAUUGUUGUCAAGUGUCAAUUGGAUGGAAAAACUGUUUGAAAUUUAAACUGCCGAACAGGGUAAUGUCACGUCGCAAAGUGUAAACUAAGGUGUACGCCACAGUAUAUAUGAAGUAAGGUUCUUACCGAUUGAACUUUGCUAUUUUUACACUGAUUUUUUACACAUAGUUUGCCACUUGCAUUGUCGUCAAGUGUCAAUUGAGUGGGAAAAUUAUUUGAAAUUUAAACUGUCCAACAAGAUUAUGUCACGUGGAAAAGUGUAAACUAAAGUAUAGACCAUAGUGUACAUGUCGCAAGGUUCUUACCAAUUGAACUUUGCUAUUUGUACACUAAUUUUUGACACGUUAUUUUAGACUUGCAUUGUUGUCAAGUGUUAUUUGGA